UAAAUCGAGAGUUUGAUCCUGGCUCAGGAUGAACGCUGGCGGCGUGCCUAAUACAUGCAAGUCGAGCGCAUCGGCCCAACUGAUUGAAGAUGCUUGCAUCCGAUUGACGAUGGUUUACCGAUGAGCGGCGGACGGGUGAGUAACACGUAGGUAACCUGCCCAGAAGCGGGGGAUAACACCUGGAAACAGAUGCUAAUACCGCAUAGGUCAUUUGACCGCAUGGUCAAAUGAUUAAAGAUGGCU
Molecule: ribosomal RNA, 243 nt
Filed under: Ligilactobacillus saerimneri
Lineage: Bacteria; Bacillati; Bacillota; Bacilli; Lactobacillales; Lactobacillaceae
Description: partial 16S ribosomal RNA
Rfam family: Bacterial small subunit ribosomal RNA
Source: RNAcentral